CCACAUCUUGGCAAUGGUAUAUACAGUGAUAUAUGGAUGACCGACGUUUAGAUGUACGAAGUUUUACAACGAUUUUGGAGCAUAUAGGGUGUGUGUGUUUACUGUUUCUUACAUGUGGCAACACUUUGAUAUACUUGUUUCUCUUUUUACACAUGCCUUUCUGUAUGUAUACACGCAACAGGGUCACCACGGGAACGUACCGCCACAAACACAUAUAGACAAUGACUGACGUUCAGAUGAGCAGAUUUUAGAGCAUAUACGGUUAGUACAUGUAUGUCUACUUUUCCUUUUAUGUGGCAACGCUUUGAUACAUUUGUUUUUGUUUUUAAACAUGCCUUUCUGUAUUUAUACAUUCAACCUUAACAGGGUUACCAUGGAAACGUACCCCAAUAUCUGGGCAAUGGUAUAUUGGAUGAGCAACGUUCAGAUGUACAAAGCCAUACAGCAGAUUUUAGAGCAUAUAAGGUGUGUAUGUUUACUUUUUUUUUGUGACGUCACUUUGAUAUAUUUGUUUUUCAUUUUACACAUACUCCUCUGUAUCUAUAAAAACAACAGGAUUACCGUGGAAACUAACAUCUACAUCUAGGCAAAGGUAUAAAUGGAUGACGACGUCAAGAUCUACAAACAGCAGUGAGAGAAAUCCUGCAACCGAUAACGAUCACGUGGCAAACGCUUAGCUUUAAAUAGUCUAAGCUUUUCUAUGACCCGUAAAUGAAUUCAGGCAAAACUUGAAUAUAAACAAACAUCUGUAUGUGCUGUUAUUGAAAACUCAAUCUACCUUGCAUGUGUUUUGCUGCGUAAUUCUUGGUGUUCGGUGUUUGCUGUUUUGUUACGGAUUUGUUUGGUUAUUUGAUGGUGUUUGUGGUGGUUUUGGUGUUUGUUGUGGUGUUUGUGGUGGUGUUUUGGUGUUUGUUGUGUUUUUUGGUGUCUUCCAUGUGGUCUUCUCGGUUGUAUUCGAUUUCGAUAAUGUUUUCGUUGUUUUGUUAAAAUAGGCUUUUGAUGCGAAUUGUUUGUCGCAUUGGGUUCCGUUACAAGAUGAUUUUCUUUCUGCCAUUAGCAAUGUAUUAUAACUAGAUUUAUUGAUGUACACAAUUAAAUAUUGCGCUGUGAUUAAUUUGUUUUACGUUUCCCAUCAGUUUUAGAUAGCUGCAAAGACAUGUCAUGAAAUUUGCAGACGACAGAUAUGGGGUGCAGGCGAGAUCUGGGUUGAACGCGCGAAAGCUGCAAAGACAUGCCAUGAAAUAUGCAGACGACAGACAUGCGGUGCAGACGAGAUCUGGGUUGAACGCGCGAAAUUGUUUUAUUUUAUUUCUGCGUUUUACUCUUUUUGUUUUAUAUUUCUUUUCUCUACUAGAAUGCUGGGGUAUGUAUACUAGAAGAAAAAAGACGCAGACGGACAUGGAGAUGCAGACCAAGCAAAAUGUGCGUUUCUCUUCAUGAUGAACAGGUAGUAUAUUGCUACUUAUGUUAUCCUUUUUUGUAUGCAUCUUUUCAACCUGGUGGCUGAUGAUAACAAGCACGUGUGAAUAUAUCAUGUUGUAGACAAUGCAAUGGUUUAGUGGAUGGUGCAGCUAUGGUACAAGAUAUUGACUACAAGCACGUGCAUGGAUGUCAUGUUGUAGAUUUCACAGUGGUUAAGUGGAUGCUGCAUCUUGAUCUUGAUCCUUUUUCUGAGGUAUGUAAUUUUUUUGACAGGUACAAUUAGAUUAUUUCGUUUGAUAGUUUUUUUUGCAGUUUUCAUCCCGCAAGUUACGCACAUACAUUUUCAUUUUAAUAAAUUUUCUAUAAAUUUUCUAUUUUCUGGUUAUCGUGUGGGCGUACAUGGUUUCAAUUUUUUUUUUAUUUUUAACUCAUUACUGUUAAUUGUUAGAUAAUGACUAGUGCAUAACUUUAAACCUUAAGAAAGCAAAGAACUAUUUUUCUCGUAGUAAUUCUGGAACGUAGGAAUGUGCCUUCAACUUCUUGCUAUGGUGAAAGUGAAGUAUCGGACAAGAAACACAACUAUUCGAAUGAGAAACUCAGGCUAUCAGACGAGGAACCCGAACUAUCCGACAAGAAGCAGUUUCCUGUACCAUACACCACUGUUCGAUUGGUCAAGAUAGAGAGGUUUUAGUGGAAUUCAGCCCUUGAUGGACAUAUCGUCUGUGUUUGCCCUGUCCUGUGUGGACAGAGAGCUCUUCCACACCUCAUGCAAAUAUCAGAAUCCGCGAGGUAGGCGACGAAUUUAUUCAGGUUUAAAACGACAGGAAGACAGUGUUUUACAUUGUUGAAAGACAAAGAAAAAGAAUCGAUUCCAGAACCUGUGUUUGUUGUUUUCGGCAGUUGAGGGGAGAGUUCGGUGCAUGCCAGAUACUAUCUAUUGAUUUCAAACACUCUAGUGAGAAAUAUAUGCAGAAGAAAGAACCAAGUGAUAAAUCCACGACAGACCUGGCACAAGCAUAUAGCAUGACACCACUACAGCCGCCAUGACAAAAGCAUAGUUAAACAAAUUAGACAUAAGCUAACAUGUAUAUAACUAUACCUCAACGUACAAAGUAUAUUGGGCUAUGUUGGAGUCACGCAUGUGCAGUCCAUCCGUCCGUCCGUUCAUUUGUCCACCAUGACCGCUUGGAUGAUUUUCAUAAAACUGAAAUAAAUUAUAAACCACAUCAAGACGAUGUACAGAGCGCUCAACCUAGGUCACAAGGCCCAAGGUCAAGGUUACUCAUGGAGGUCAAAGGUCAAACAGCUUAGCUUCAUGUCCGCUCUAUAUUGUCUAAACGGCUUUGAAAAUAUUUAGCUCGACUGUUUGAAGAAUAAGGAGGAUUACUGUACAUCCCUUGGCGUCUGUGUCACUGUUACCGUUGCAUUGUAAGUUAAACUUUUAGGACAAGCUUCUCAGUGUCACUAUAUCUUCUUACUACUGCCCUUAUUAACAUCAAACUUCACAUAAGUGUUGGUCUUGGUAAGGGAAAGACAUCUACAUGUAUUAGUUUAGGAACAAGUAUCCUAAAUGUCGAAGUCACUGGCUUAAAUAUUGUGAUAGUGCUGGUUAAAGUUUCAUAAUAAGCUUCUCAGUUUUACAAUAUAACCUCACAUAAGGAUUGAUCUUGGAACUGGCAGAAAUCUUUUUGUUUAGGGUCAAGUUGCUCAAAGGUCAAGAUUACUGGGGUCAGAUUUUGUAACAGUGUUGGUUAAAGUCUUGUGGCACAUUUCUCAAUUUGACUUAUAUCUCAUAACGUUUCUUAGAACUGGUAUCCCUCAUGUCCUAUCCUUUUUAGCUAUACCCACACUUCAUCUACGUUCCUCCCGACACCCACCCAAAAAUGCGUUCCAUACAAAAACCUAUAGUUCAUGUUUCCAUCAACUCCCCUACUCCGCUGUCUUCACCUACCUCCUCCACCCCAUUUCACCGGACCUUUACCCUCGUCCCUAACCCCCGCCCCCUCCAUAAAAAUGAUAAAAAAACCCCUCCUUUUCGAUCUCCCACACUUACUUAUAAUAAUAACAAUAUCUUGUUAUACAUUUUCUUUAUAGUCGAGCAGACACAAUUAACUCAGAUCACUAGGUCCACGGUCAAGGUCACACCUAAAAAUCAGAAGUCAAGAUGACAACAUUUUACUUUCCAUUAUCCAAGUGAUGUCUGGGGGUAUUAAUCGACUUCAGUGAUAGCCUUAGUUGAUCAGGUGUUAGUGGCAUAAAUGUGUAACAUUUGCUUUAUUGGGGGGAUAGGAAUGGUCUCCGUCCGUCCGUCCGUCUGUCCGUCCGUCUGCCCGUCCGUAACACUUUCGUGUCCAGGCCAUAUCUCCUAAACCCCUUGAAGGAUUUUCAUGAAACUUGGGUCAAAUGAUCACAUCAAGACGAUGUGCAGAACUUAUAAGUUUGCUAUGUCGGCGCAAGGUCAAGGUCACGACUCAAGGUCAAAGGUUUUAGCCUUCCAUUUCGUGUCCGCUCUGUAUCUCCUAAACCUCUUGAAGGAGUUUUAUAAAACUCGGAUCAAAUGAUCACCUCAUCAAGAGGAUAUGCAGAACUUAUGAGUCAGCCAUGCCAGCUCAAGGUCAAAGUCACAACUUAGGGUUAAAGGUUUGAGCCUUCCAUUUUGUGUCCGCUUUGUAUCUCCUAAACCCCUUGAAAGAUUUUCAUGAAACUUGGGUCAAAUUAUCACUUCAUCAAGACGAUGUGUAGAACUCAUGAGUCAGCCAUGUUGGCUCAAGGUCAAGGCCACAACUUGGGAUCAAAGGUUUGAGCCUUCCAUUUUGUGUCCGCUCUGUAUCUUCUAAACCCCUUGAAGGAUUUUCAUGAAUUCUUGGUCAAAUGAUCACCUCAUCAAGAUAAUGUGCAGAACCUAUGAGUUCUAUGAGGCUCAAGGUCAAGUUCAUAAAGGUUUGAGUCUUCCAUUUUGUGUCAACUCUGUAUCUCCUAAACCCCUUGAAGGAUUUUCAUUAAACUUGGGCCAAAUGAUUACCACAUCAAGAACUCAUGAUUCAGCUAUGUCAACUCAAGGUCAAGGUCACAACUCAAGGUCAAAGGUUUAAGCUCUGUAUUUCCUAAACCCCUUGAAGGAUUUUUAUGAAACUUUGGUCAAAUGACCAACUCAUCAAGAUGAUGUGCAGAAUUCAUAAAUCAGUCAUGUCAGUUCAUUGUUAAGGUCACAGCUCAAGGUCAAAGGUUCAAGUUACCCGUUCACUAUCCAUAACAGUGGCGGGGAUUUUAGCUGUCUUUCAGACUGCCAUGUAAUAAUUGAUUUUAGGAUGGGAGAUAUUUGUUUGUUUCAGUGUAAGAUCGACAAUCAUUUUAAAUACAUCUCGCGAAAAUGUAAACUCUAGUGUUCAAGCGUGAAAAAUAAUCAGUUUUACUAUAAAUCAAAGAAAUUUAUAUUAUGCAAUUAAAUAUAUGUGUACUAUUAAUCAAAGAAAUUUUAUAUUAUGCAA
This is a long non-coding RNA of Mercenaria mercenaria, 4910 nucleotides long. RefSeq lists it as uncharacterized. The transcript has 4 exons. Lineage: Eukaryota; Metazoa; Mollusca; Bivalvia; Venerida; Veneridae. The record is from RefSeq and is a predicted model, not a curated record.